GUUAUAUGGUCAAGUGAAGAAGCGCAUACGGUGGAUGCCUUGGCAGUCAGAGGCGAUGAAAGACGUGGUAGCCUGCGAAAAGCUUCGGGGAGUCGGCAAACAGACUUUGAUCCGGAGAUCUCUGAAUGGGGGAACCCACCUAGGAUAACCUAGGUAUCUUGUACUGAAUCCAUAGGUGCAAGAGGCGAACCAGGGGAACUGAAACAUCUAAGUACCCUGAGGAAAAGAAAUCAACCGAGAUUCCCUUAGUAGUGGCGAGCGAACGGGGAUUAGCCCUUAAGCUUCAUUGAUUUUAGCGGAACGCUCUGGAAAGUGCGGCCAUAGUGGGUGAUAGCCCCGUACGCGAAAGGAUCUUUGAAGUGAAAUCGAGUAGGACGGAGCACGAGAAACUUUGUCUGAACAUGGGGGGACCAUCCUCCAAGGCUAAAUACUACUGACUGACCGAUAGUGAACCAGUACCGUGAGGGAAAGGCGAAAAGAACCCCGGAGAGGGGAGUGAAAUAGAACCUGAAACCGUAUGCGUACAAGCAGUGGGAGCCUACUUGUUAGGUGACUGCGUACCUUUUGUAUAAUGGGUCAGCGACUUAUAUUCAGUGGCAAGCUUAACCGUAUAGGGUAGGCGUAGCGAAAGCGAGUCUUAAUAGGGCGUUUAGUCGCUGGGUAUAGACCCGAAACCGGGCGAUCUAUCCAUGAGCAGGUUGAAGGUUAGGUAACACUGACUGGAGGACCGAACCCACUCCCGUUGAAAAGGUAGGGGAUGACUUGUGGAUCGGAGUGAAAGGCUAAUCAAGCUCGGAGAUAGCUGGUUCUCCUCGAAAGCUAUUUAGGUAGCGCCUCAUGUAUCAUCUCUGGGGGUAGAGCACUGUUUCGGCUAGGGGGUCAUCCCGACUUACCAAACCGAUGCAAACUCCGAAUACCCAGAAGUGCCGAGCAUGGGAGACACACGGCGGGUGCUAACGUCCGUCGUGAAAAGGGAAACAACCCAGACCGCCAGCUAAGGUCCCAAAGUUGUGGUUAAGUGGUAAACGAUGUGGGAAGGCUUAGACAGCUAGGAGGUUGGCUUAGAAGCAGCCACCCUUUAAAGAAAGCGUAAUAGCUCACUAGUCGAGUCGGCCUGCGCGGAAGAUGUAACGGGGCUCAAACCACACACCGAAGCUGCGGGUGUCACGUAAGUGACGCGGUAGAGAGCGUUCUGUAAGCCUGUGAAGGUGAGUUGAGAAGCUUGCUGGAGGUAUCAGAAGUGCGAAUGCUGACAUGAGUAACGACAAUGGGUGUGAAAAACACCCACGCCGAAAGACCAAGGGUUCCUGCGCAACGUUAAUCGACGCAGGGUUAGUCGGUUCCUAAGGCGAGGCUGAAAAGCGUAGUCGAUGGGAAACAGGUUAAUAUUCCUGUACUUCUGGUUACUGCGAUGGAGGGACGGAGAAGGCUAGGCCAGCUUGGCGUUGGUUGUCCAAGUUUAAGGUGGUAGGCUGAAAUCUUAGGUAAAUCCGGGGUUUCCAAGGCCGAGAGCUGAUGACGAGUCGUCUUUUAGAUGACGAAGUGGUUGAUGCCAUGCUUCCAAGAAAAGCUUCUAAGCUUCAGGUAACCAGGAACCGUACCCCAAACCGACACAGGUGGUCGGGUAGAGAAUACCAAGGCGCUUGAGAGAACUCGGGUGAAGGAACUAGGCAAAAUGGCACCGUAACUUCGGGAGAAGGUGCGCCGGCUAGGGUGAAGGAUUUACUCCGUAAGCUCUGGCUGGUCGAAGAUACCAGGCCGCUGCGACUGUUUAUUAAAAACACAGCACUCUGCAAACACGAAAGUGGACGUAUAGGGUGUGACGCCUGCCCGGUGCCGGAAGGUUAAUUGAUGGGGUUAGCGCAAGCGAAGCUCUUGAUCGAAGCCCCGGUAAACGGCGGCCGUAACUAUAACGGUCCUAAGGUAGCGAAAUUCCUUGUCGGGUAAGUUCCGACCUGCACGAAUGGCGUAACGAUGGCGGCGCUGUCUCCACCCGAGACUCAGUGAAAUUGAAAUCGCUGUGAAGAUGCAGUGUAUCCGCGGCUAGACGGAAAGACCCCGUGAACCUUUACUGUAGCUUUGCACUGGACUUUGAGCCUGCUUGUGUAGGAUAGGUGGGAGGCUUUGAAGCGUGGACGCCAGUUCGCGUGGAGCCAUCCUUGAAAUACCACCCUGGCAUGCUUGAGGUUCUAACUCUGGUCCGUGAUCCGGAUCGAGGACAGUGUAUGGUGGGCAGUUUGACUGGGGCGGUCUCCUCCUAAAGAGUAACGGAGGAGUACGAAGGUGCGCUCAGACCGGUCGGAAAUCGGUCGCAGAGUAUAAAGGCAAAAGCGCGCUUGACUGCGAGACAGACACGUCGAGCAGGUACGAAAGUAGGUCUUAGUGAUCCGGUGGUUCUGUAUGGAAGGGCCAUCGCUCAACGGAUAAAAGGUACUCCGGGGAUAACAGGCUGAUACCGCCCAAGAGUUCAUAUCGACGGCGGUGUUUGGCACCUCGAUGUCGGCUCAUCACAUCCUGGGGCUGAAGCCGGUCCCAAGGGUAUGGCUGUUCGCCAUUUAAAGUGGUACGCGAGCUGGGUUUAGAACGUCGUGAGACAGUUCGGUCCCUAUCUGCCGUGGACGUUUGAGAUUUGAGAGGGGCUGCUCCUAGUACGAGAGGACCGGAGUGGACGAACCUCUGGUGUUCCGGUUGUCACGCCAGUGGCAUUGCCGGGUAGCUAUGUUCGGAAAAGAUAACCGCUGAAAGCAUCUAAGCGGGAAACUUGCCUCAAGAUGAGAUCUCACUGGGAACUUGAUUCCCCUGAAGGGCGUCGAAGACUACGACGUUGAUAGGCUGGUGUGUAAGCGUUGUGAGGCGUUGAGCUAACCAGUACUAAUUGCCCGUGAGGCUUGACCAUAUAACACCCAAACA
Molecule: ribosomal RNA, 2910 nt
Filed under: Pseudomonas aeruginosa
Lineage: Bacteria; Pseudomonadati; Pseudomonadota; Gammaproteobacteria; Pseudomonadales; Pseudomonadaceae
Description: 23S ribosomal RNA
Rfam family: Bacterial large subunit ribosomal RNA
Source: RNAcentral